UGGGUAACCUGCCUCAAAGAGGGGAAUAGCCUCCCGAAAGGGAGAUUAAUACCGCAUAAUAUGUUUAAGUCGCACGACUUUAACAUCAAAGGAUUUUCUUUUAGAAAUUCCACUUUGAGAUGGACCCGCGGCGCAUUAGCUAGUUGGUGAGGUAACGCCCACAAGGCGACGACGGGUAGCCGGCCUGAGAGGGUGACCGGCCACACGUGGGACUGAGACACGGCCCAGACUCCGUACGGGAGGCCAG
RNAcentral lists this ribosomal RNA (247 nucleotides) under uncultured bacterium. Its description in RNAcentral is "partial 16S ribosomal RNA". It matches the Rfam family "Bacterial small subunit ribosomal RNA", at positions 118 to 349 of the family's 1533-position model. The record is from RNAcentral.